This 92-nucleotide transfer RNA is filed under the name Brucella pseudogrignonensis. Its description in RNAcentral is "tRNA-OTHER". It matches the Rfam family "tRNA". From Rfam's summary of the family: Transfer RNA (tRNA) molecules are approximately 80 nucleotides in length. Their secondary structure includes four short double-helical elements and three loops (D, anti-codon, and T loops). Further hydrogen bonds mediate the characteristic L-shaped molecular structure. tRNAs have two regions of fundamental functional importance: the anti-codon, which is responsible for specific mRNA codon recognition, and the 3' end, to which the tRNAs corresponding amino acid is attached (by aminoacyl-tRNA synthetases). tRNAs cope with the degeneracy of the genetic code in two manners: having more than one tRNA (with a specific anti-codon) for a particular amino acid; and 'wobble' base-pairing, i.e. permitting non-standard base-pairing at the 3rd anti-codon position. The record is from RNAcentral. Lineage: Bacteria; Pseudomonadati; Pseudomonadota; Alphaproteobacteria; Hyphomicrobiales; Brucellaceae. RNAcentral also lists the same sequence under 1 other name.
GGAGAGGUGGCCGAGUGGUCGAAGGCGCUCCCCCUGCUAAGGGAGUAGACCUCAUAAGGGUCUCGUGGGUUCGAAUCCCAUCCUCUCCGCCA